This 309-nucleotide long non-coding RNA is filed under the name Ananas comosus (pineapple). RNAcentral's name for it is "long non-coding RNA (ACOM_LNC004722)". The record is from RNAcentral. Lineage: Eukaryota; Viridiplantae; Streptophyta; Magnoliopsida; Poales; Bromeliaceae.
UAUAUAGUUUAGAGAGUUGAAUUGGAAUACUAUUAAUAGUAUUUGAACUUUUUUGAUAUUGAUUUUUUAGCAGUUAGAUCUACACUUUGAUCAAUUUUAUCAUUUAGAUCAUACUAUCUAUCUAAUUACUCACUCAAUCUCAGAGGGAUCAUUACUAAAGCCAAGGGGACCACUAUCAUUCUAACACUAUAAUUUCUUAUUCAGGAGUUAAAAAAACUCGAUAACAAAAAAAGCCAAAUACUAUUAAUAUUAUUUCAACACAAUUAUAUAUAUAUAUAUAUAAGCAAAAUAAAGUGCAAAUUUUAAAGG